UAAAUCGCAAGAUGAUGUAUAUGGGGUGACACCUGCCCAGUGCUGGAAGGUUAAAGAAGGGUGUUAGAGCAAUCAAAGCUCCCGACUGAAGCCCCAGUGAACGGCGGCCGUAACUAUAACGGUCCUAAGGUAGCGAAAUUCCUUGUCGGGUAAAUUCCGUCCCGCUUGAAUGGUGUAACCAUCUCUUGACUGUCUCGGCUAUAGACUCGGUGAAAUCCAGGUACGGGUGAAGACACCCGUUAGGCGCAACGGGACGGAGAGACCCCAUGAAGCUUUACUGUAACUUAAUAUUGGGCAGAGUUUAGACAUAUAGAGAAUAGGUGGGAGACUUUGAAGCAACUUCGCUAGGAGUUGUGGAGUCACCAGUGGAAUACCACCUUUGUUUAAAUUCUUCUCUAACUAGUUGCUGUUAUCCAGCAAUAGGACAGUGUUAGGCGGGCAGUUUGACUGGGGCGGUCGCCUCCCAAAAGGUAACGGAGGCGUGCAAAGGUACCCUCAGCACGGUUGGAAAUCGUGUUAAGAGUGUAAUGGUAUAAGGGUGCUUGACUGUGAGACUAACAGGUCGAACAGGUAAGAAAUUAGGUCAUAGUGAUCCGGUGGUUCAGUAUGGAAUGGCCAUCGCUCAACGGAUAAAAGCUACUCUGGGGAUAACAGGCUGAUACUGCCCAAGAGUUCACAUCGACGGCAGUGUUUGGCACCUCGAUGUCGACUCAUCUCAUCCUCGAGCUGAAGCAGGUUCGAAGGGUUCGGCUGUUCGCCGAUUAAAGAGAUACGUGAGUUGGGUUCAAACCGUCGCGAGACAGGUUGGUCCCUAUCUAUUGUGCCCGCAGGAAGAUU
This 837-nucleotide ribosomal RNA is filed under the name Mycoplasmoides gallisepticum. RNAcentral's name for it is "Mycoplasma gallisepticum partial 23S ribosomal RNA". It matches the Rfam family "Bacterial large subunit ribosomal RNA", at positions 1827 to 2663 of the family's 2925-position model. The record is from RNAcentral. Lineage: Bacteria; Bacillati; Mycoplasmatota; Mycoplasmoidales; Mycoplasmoidaceae.